Molecule: long non-coding RNA, 205 nt
Filed under: Manihot esculenta (cassava)
Lineage: Eukaryota; Viridiplantae; Streptophyta; Magnoliopsida; Malpighiales; Euphorbiaceae
Description: long non-coding RNA (MESC_LNC002855)
Source: RNAcentral
UCGCCCGAUCUGGUCUCCUCCGCCGCACGGUUGGAUCAAGGCGAACAUUGACGCCUCUUUAAGCUUGCAACGAGGUUCGGUAGGUUUCGGUUGUGUAAUCCGGAAGGAUGAUGGGAGUUUUGUGGCUGCUAGAGCAGGCUCUUUUUAUAGCCAGAUGGAUGCAAAGUGUACUGAAGCUAUAGCAUUCCGGGAAGCAUUGAGCUGG